Molecule: ribosomal RNA, 515 nt
Filed under: uncultured bacterium
Lineage: Bacteria
Description: partial 16S ribosomal RNA
Rfam family: Bacterial small subunit ribosomal RNA
Source: RNAcentral
GAUGAACGCUGGCGGCGUGCCUAAUACAUGCAAGUCGAGCGAAUGGAUUAAGAGCUUGCUCUUAUGAAGUUAGCGGCGGACGGGUGAGUAACACGUGGGUAACCUGCCCAUAAGACUGGGAUAACUCCGGGAAACCGGGGCUAAUACCGGAUAACAUUUUGAACCGCAUGGUUCGAAAUUGAAAGGCGGCUUCGGCUGUCACUUAUGGAUGGACCCGCGUCGCAUUAGCUAGUUGGUGAGGUAACGGCUCACCAAGGCAACGAUGCGUAGCCGACCGGGGAGGGGGAUCGGCACCACUGGGACUGGGACACGGCCCAGACUCCUACGGGAGGCAGCAGUAGGGAAUCUUCCGCAAUGGACGAAAGUCUGACGGAGCAACGCCGCGUGAGUGAUGAAGGCUUUCGGGUCGUAAAACUCUGUUGUUAGGGAAGGACAAGUGCUAGUUGAAUAAGCUGGCACCUUGACGGUACCUAACCAGAAAGCCACGGCUAACUACGUGCCAGCCGCCGCUGUAA